ACGCCCGCUCAAGAAACUACAAAGGAAUUGACGGGGGCCCGCACAAGCGGUGGAGUAUGUGGUUUAAUUCGAUGCAACGCGAAGAACCUUACCAGGCCUUGACAUGCAGAGAACUUUCCAGAGAUGGAUUGGUGCCUUCGGGAACUCUGAGACAGGUGCUGCAUGGCUGUCGUCAGCUCGUGUCGUGAGAUGUUGGGUUAAGUCCCGCAACGAGCGCAACCCUUGCCUUUAGUUGCCAGCAGUUCGGCUGGGCACUCUAAAGGGACUGCCGGUGUUAAACCGGAGGAAGGUGGGGAUGACGUCAAGUCCUCAUGGCCUUUAUGACCAGGGCUACACACGUACUACAAUGGCCGAUACAAAGGGCAGCGACACUGCGAGGUGAAGCCAAUCCCGUAAAAUCGGUCUCAGUCCGGAUUGGAGUCUGCAACUUGACUCCAUGAAGUUGGAAUCGCUAGUAAUCGUGGAUCAGCAUGCCACGGUGAAUACGUUCCCGGGCCUU
RNAcentral lists this ribosomal RNA (499 nucleotides) under uncultured Desulfobulbus sp. RNAcentral's name for it is "bacterial SSU rRNA". It matches the Rfam family "Bacterial small subunit ribosomal RNA", at positions 903 to 1382 of the family's 1533-position model. Lineage: Bacteria; Pseudomonadati; Thermodesulfobacteriota; Desulfobulbia; Desulfobulbales; Desulfobulbaceae. The record is from RNAcentral.